GAUGAAGAACGUAGCAAAAUGCGAUAAGUAAUGUGAAUUGCAGAAUUCAGUGAAUCAUCGAAUCUUUGAACGCACAUUGCGCCCGCCAGUAUUCUGGCGGGCAUGCCUGUUCGAGCGUCAUUUCAACCCUCAAGCACAGCUUGGUGUUGGGACUCGCGUUAAUUCGCGUUCCCCAAAUUGAUUGGCGGUCACGUCGAGCUUCCAUAGCGUAGUAGUAAAACCCUCGUUACUGGUAAUCGUCGCGGCCACGCCGUUAAACCCCAACUUCUGAACGUUUGACCUCGGAUCAGGUAGGAAUACCCGCUGAACUUAAGCAUAUCAAUAAGCGGAGGA
RNAcentral lists this unclassified non-coding RNA (333 nucleotides) under soil metagenome. RNAcentral describes it as "partial contains 5.8S ribosomal RNA, internal transcribed spacer 2, and large subunit ribosomal RNA". The stretch from base 1 to 120 matches the Rfam family "5.8S ribosomal RNA", at positions 35 to 154 of the family's 154-position model. The record is from RNAcentral.